Molecule: ribosomal RNA, 68 nt
Filed under: Basfia succiniciproducens
Lineage: Bacteria; Pseudomonadati; Pseudomonadota; Gammaproteobacteria; Pasteurellales; Pasteurellaceae
Description: 16S rRNA. Bacterial SSU
Source: RNAcentral
AUGGCUCAGAUUGAACGCUGGCGGCAGGCUUAACACAUGCAAGUCGAACGGUAGCGGGAGGAAAGCUU